GUACUUUGACAGCAUAUAUACUAAAAUUGGAAUGAUACAGAGAAGAUUAGCAUGGCCCCUGUGUGAGGAUAACAUGCAAAUUUGUGAAACAUUCCAUAUUUUU
Molecule: small nuclear RNA, 103 nt
Organism: Physeter macrocephalus (sperm whale)
Lineage: Eukaryota; Metazoa; Chordata; Mammalia; Artiodactyla; Physeteridae
Source: Ensembl